UACGGGGGGGGGCAAGCGUUGUUCGGAAUUACUGGGCGUAAAGGGCUCGUAGGUGGCCAACUAAGUCAGACGUGAAAUCCCUCGGCUUAACCGGGGAACUGCGUCUGAUACUGGAUGGCUUGAGUUCGGGAGAGGGAUGCGGAAUUCCAGGUGUAGCGGUGAAAUGCGUAGAUAUCUAGAGGAACACCGGUGGCGAAGGCGGCAUCCUGGACCGACACUGACACUGAGGAGCGAAAGCCAGGGGAGCAAACCGGG
This 255-nucleotide ribosomal RNA is filed under the name uncultured bacterium. RNAcentral's name for it is "partial 16S ribosomal RNA". It matches the Rfam family "Bacterial small subunit ribosomal RNA", at positions 524 to 777 of the family's 1533-position model. The record is from RNAcentral.